Molecule: ribosomal RNA, 428 nt
Filed under: uncultured bacterium
Lineage: Bacteria
Description: bacterial SSU rRNA
Rfam family: Bacterial small subunit ribosomal RNA
Source: RNAcentral
AGUAGGGAAUAUUGCGCAAUGGGCGAAAGCCUGACGCAGCGACGCCGCGUGGGUGAUGAAGGCCUUCGGGUCGUAAAGCCCUGUCGAGGGGGACGAACCGGCCGCGACCGAACAGGUCGCGACCCUGACGGUACCCCUAAAGGAAGCACCGGCUAACUCCGUGCCAGCAGCCGCGGUAAUACGGAGGGUGCGAGCGUUGUUCGGAAUCACUGGGCGUAAAGCGCGUGUAGGCGGCCUGCUAAGUCUGAUGUGAAAGCCCGAGGCUCACCCUCGGAAGUGCAUUGGAAACUGGCAGACUGGAGUCCCGGAGAGGAGGGUGGAAUUCCUGGUGUAGCGGUGAAAUGCGUAGAUAUCAGGAGGAACACCGGUGGCGAAGGCGGCCCUCUGGACGGUGACUGACGCUGAGACGCGAAAGCGUGGGGAGCAAA